RNAcentral lists this ribosomal RNA (253 nucleotides) under uncultured bacterium. RNAcentral's name for it is "partial 16S ribosomal RNA". It matches the Rfam family "Bacterial small subunit ribosomal RNA", at positions 524 to 776 of the family's 1533-position model. The record is from RNAcentral.
UACGUAGGGUGCAAGCGUUAAUCGGAAUUACUGGGCGUAAAGCGUGCGCAGGCGGUUUUGUAAGUCUGUCGUGAAAUCCCCGGGCUCAACCUGGGAAUUGCGAUGGAGACUGCCAGGCUAGAAUCUGGCAGAGGGGGGUAGAAUUCCACGUGUAGCAGUGAAAUGCGUAGAGAUGUGGAGGAACACCGAUGGCGAAGGCAGCCCCCUGGGUCAAGAUUGACGCUCAUGCACGAAAGCGUGGGGAGCAAACAGG